Molecule: ribosomal RNA, 309 nt
Filed under: Triticum aestivum (bread wheat)
Lineage: Eukaryota; Viridiplantae; Streptophyta; Magnoliopsida; Poales; Poaceae
Description: partial small subunit ribosomal RNA
Source: RNAcentral
AUGGUUGCAUUUUCUCAGUUUCCCCUUGCCAUCGGCCGCAGCGGUGAGCAUAGGGGCAGCGGUCGCGGUCGCUCGAGGAGCACAACCGCACGGGGGCUGGUCCUGCCACUGCGGAGCAGAGCGGAGGAGGUCGAUGCAGGGUCGAGGAGGGGCACGGGCGAGGGUCAUGCCGCAUGGGGGCUCGUGGUGUCUAGAGAGCAAUGGAAGAAACGGAAGGAUGAUAUUUUGGGUGUGUGCACAUGUAUAGCACUAGCUUUUUCAGAUGAUUGUGAAGCUUAUGGAAGAGGCAUAUCUGAAUGCUUGCUUUGA